GACGAACGCUGGCGGCGUGCUUAACACAUGCAAGUCGAACGGAAAGGCCCUGAUUUUGUGGGGUGCUCGAGUGGCGAACGGGUGAGUAACACGUGAGUAACCUGCCCUUGACUUUGGGAUAACUUCAGGAAACUGGGGCUACUACCGGAUAGGAGCUCCUGCUGCAUGGUGGGGGUUGGAAAGUUUCGGCGGGUGGGGAUGGACUCGCGGCUUAUCAGCUUGUUGGUGGGGUAGUGGCUUACCAAGGCUUUGACGGGUAGCCGGCCUGAGAGGGUGACCGGCCACAUUGGGACUGAGAGACGGCCCAGACUGCAACGGUAGGCAGCAGUGGGGAAUAUGGCACAAUGGGCGGAAGCCUGAUGCAGCAACGCCGCGGGCGGGAUGACGGCCUGCGGGUUGUAAACCGCUGUCGCCUGUGACGAAGCGGGAGUGACGGUAAUGGGUGAAGAAGCACCGGCUAACUACGUG
RNAcentral lists this ribosomal RNA (468 nucleotides) under uncultured bacterium. Its description in RNAcentral is "partial 16S ribosomal RNA". It matches the Rfam family "Bacterial small subunit ribosomal RNA", at positions 28 to 507 of the family's 1533-position model. The record is from RNAcentral.